This 69-nucleotide transfer RNA is filed under the name Amolops sinensis. RNAcentral describes it as "tRNA-Glu". It matches the Rfam family "tRNA". From Rfam's summary of the family: Transfer RNA (tRNA) molecules are approximately 80 nucleotides in length. Their secondary structure includes four short double-helical elements and three loops (D, anti-codon, and T loops). Lineage: Eukaryota; Metazoa; Chordata; Amphibia; Anura; Ranidae. The record is from RNAcentral.
GUUUUUGUAGUUGAAUAACAGCGGUAGCUUUUCAAGCUAUAGGUUCAGGUUGAAGCCCUGACAGAAAUG